RNAcentral lists this ribosomal RNA (301 nucleotides) under uncultured bacterium. Its description in RNAcentral is "partial 16S ribosomal RNA". It matches the Rfam family "Bacterial small subunit ribosomal RNA", at positions 509 to 809 of the family's 1533-position model. The record is from RNAcentral.
CAGUCGCCACGGUAAUACGGAGGGUGCAAGCGUUAAUCGGAAUUACUGGGCGUAAAGCGUGCGUAGGCGGUUCGUUAAGUUGGAUGUGAAAUCCCCGGGCUCAACCUGGGAACUGCAUCCAAAACUGGCAGGCUAGAGUAGGGCAGAGGGUGGUGGAAUUUCCUGUGUAGCGGUGAAAUGCGUAGAUAUAGGAAGGAACACCAGUGGCGAAGGCGACCACCUGGGCUCAUACUGACACUGAGGUGCGAAAGCGUGGGGAGCAAACAGGAUUAGAUACCCGCGUAGUCCCUGUCUCUUAUAA